Molecule: ribosomal RNA, 260 nt
Filed under: Microbacteriaceae bacterium ISOM193_OTU891
Lineage: Bacteria; Bacillati; Actinomycetota; Actinomycetes; Micrococcales; Microbacteriaceae
Also listed under: 1 other name
Description: partial 16S ribosomal RNA
Rfam family: Bacterial small subunit ribosomal RNA
Source: RNAcentral
ACGAACGCUGGCGGCGUGCUUAACACAUGCAAGUCGAACGAUGAAGGGGAGCUUGCUCCUUGGAUUAGUGGCGAACGGGUGAGUAACACGUGAGCAAUCUGCCCUUGACUCUGGGAUAAGCGUUGGAAACGACGUCUAAUACCGGAUAUGACCCUCGGAGGCAUCUCCUGGGGGUGGAAAGAAUUUUGGUCAAGGAUGAGCUCGCGGCCUAUCAGCUUGUUGGUGAGGUAAUGGCUCACCAAGGCGACGACGGGUAGCCG